Molecule: ribosomal RNA, 676 nt
Filed under: uncultured bacterium
Lineage: Bacteria
Description: bacterial SSU rRNA
Rfam family: Bacterial small subunit ribosomal RNA
Source: RNAcentral
GGGGACAACCCGCCGAAAGGCGGGCUAAACCCGCGUACAUGCCACCGGGGCAUCCCGGAGGCAGGAAAGGCUUCGGCCGGACAGGGAUGGGCAUGCGGCGCAUUAGGCAGUAGGCGGGGUAACGGCCCACCUAACCGACGAUGCGUAGGGGUUCUGAGAGGAUGGUCCCCCACACUGGUACUGAGACACGGACCAGACUCCUACGGGAGGCAGCAGUGAGGAAUAUUGGUCAAUGGUCGGGAGACUGAACCAGCCAAGCCGCGUGAGGGAGGAAGGUACAGAGUAUCGUAAACCUCUUUUGUCAGGGAACAAAGACUGGGACGCGUCCCCGGAUGAGUGUACCUGAAGAAAAAGCAUCGGCUAACUCCGUGCCAGCAGCCGCGGUAAUACGGAGGAUGCGAGCGUUAUCCGGAUUUAUUGGGUUUAAAGGGUGCGCAGGCGGUCUGUUAAGUCAGCGGUCAAAGCCCGGGGCUCAACCCCGGCCCGCCGUUGAAACUGGCAGUCUCGAGUUGGAGAGAAGUAUGCGGAAUGCGCGGUGUAGCGGUGAAAUGCAUAGAUAUCGCGCAGAACUCCGAUUGCGAAGGCAGCAUGCCGGCUCCACACUGACGCUGAGGCACGAAAGCGUGGGUAUCGAACAGGAUUAGAUACCCUGGUAGUCCACGCAGUAAACGAUGAA